This is a long non-coding RNA of Fukomys damarensis (Damara mole-rat), 646 nucleotides long. RefSeq lists it as uncharacterized. The record is from RefSeq and is a predicted model, not a curated record. NCBI's taxonomy places the organism in Eukaryota, Metazoa, Chordata, Mammalia, Rodentia, Bathyergidae. The transcript is spliced from 3 exons.
UACCAAAAUAAAAAUUUAUUUUAAAAAAAAAAGGAAUGGGACCUCUAGCAACCCUGGCCCCAGUGCCUCCAUCAAACGGCUGUGUCCCCUGCUCUGCCCCCGACUCCCCCAAACCAGGCUGUGCCCUCCAGUCCUGGGGAAAGCACAGCCCACUGUGCGGGCCCUCUGGAGGUGACAUAGCUGCCUCCUCACCCUCUUCUCAGCUGCAGCUGCAGCCAGGCAAGACCCCAAGUCCAGGGAGCCCCGAAAGGCCCCGCCACUGGGCUGACACUCCAGGCACAGCACAACCCAAAGCCCAGGUCACAGAGGCCUAGAAUGUUCUGUGCCUGGAGUUCUGGGAAGGAGGCUGGCCCAGAGGAGGAGCUCCCCUCACCCCCACCUCCCAGGACAGCAGGUGGUACCUCAGUGACCUGGUGACAACAAGCUGUGUAAUCCUGAGCAAGUUACCUAACCUUUCUGGACCUCAGUUGCUGCACCUGGUAAAUGGGAACUGCAACAGACCCAACACUGCACCAGCAUCAUGAAGCUGAAAGGAAAUAACACAUGCUCAGCAUAGUCUGUCCGAGACAGCCCUGCUGCAUCUGCUGCCUUCAUGGAUGGGUACAGCGUUAAGAAAGUGUGGAAGAAACUGAGGCCAAGGUGCCAG